CACGUAGGCGGACUGGAAAGUUGGAGGUGAAAUCCCAGGGCUCAACCUUGGAACUGCCUUCAAAACUAUCAGUCUGGAGUUCGAGAGAGGUGAGUGGAAUUCCGAGUGUAGAGGUGAAAUUCGUAGAUAUUCGGAGGAGCACCAGUGGCGAAGGCGGCUCACUGGCUCGAUACUGACGCUGAGGUGCGAAAGUGUGGGGAGCGAACA
Molecule: ribosomal RNA, 207 nt
Filed under: uncultured bacterium
Lineage: Bacteria
Description: partial 16S ribosomal RNA
Rfam family: Bacterial small subunit ribosomal RNA
Source: RNAcentral